Drosophila grimshawi is the source of this 303-nucleotide long non-coding RNA. RefSeq lists it as uncharacterized. The transcript is spliced from 3 exons. The record is from RefSeq and is a predicted model, not a curated record. NCBI's taxonomy places the organism in Eukaryota, Metazoa, Arthropoda, Insecta, Diptera, Drosophilidae.
AGUCAAAACAAAACAAUUCUCGAAUGGAACACGGAAAACAAUACUCAAGGCUUCGCGAAGGCGGGAUUGGUGGGGUAAACUAAUUAAGGAAAGCCUCAAUUGCGACGCAGACGAAAGUUGAGACAGACACAGAGCGAUCGAUCGAGCGAACGAUAAUGAGAGAGUGGGAGAGCGAGAGAGGGAGAUAGCGAAUCACGCUGAGUCAGAGCAGAACAUGCGAUAGACUACACUUGGAAACUAAAGUAUCAGGCACGUUUUACAUUGUUAAGAAACCAAUUUGAAAUAUCUAUCUAAGAAAAAUUC